UGACGUCUAGCUGCUCGAUUGGUCGCGCGGAGGCCAUUAUGGUGUCCGUGUGGGCGGUGGCGUAACUCGGCCACGCCCACACGAUUCCUGACACCCUCGGGGCCCCUUCGCUCGUCGAGGUGUUUUCUCUACCUGCCCGGGGACCCUUUUCGUUCGUCGUGCGCGUACUACGCUGCCACUACUCCCGACAGACUCCGUCGGGGGUAUAGCUUGGCAAAGAAAGCCAGAGACCACGCUUCGACCAGCUACGCUUGUAUGCAUGGAACGCGGACUUUCGACCGCCAAAGAGACUCCCCCGGUUCCCCUAUCGACCGCGAAUUCGACGGGAAUCGAGGGUUGAGGGUGACGCUGACAUCUGGGACGCGAGUGAAUUUCCUUUCUCCAAAGAUCCGGUGGUUUUAGUUUUUGUUACGUUCCUCGAAAUUGGAAUGUUCUUUCAUUCGCGGUUCUUGUAAUCUUUCUUGUGACGCUUAUUUUUAUUUUAUGAAUUUAAGAAGAUACAAUGAAAUAAAGGACAAUCGAACGUCAACGUGACAGUUUGGCAACAGACGUCCUUGGCUCCGCCCAUUAACCCACCGCGAAAGGAGUGGACCGGUAUUGGAGGUGGAGCAGCUUGAACGACACGUUUUUCUGUUCUCACGUACACGCAACUCGUUUGCUAAUUACUUGGAUCCAUUUUUCGAAGGGAAUCUUUUAUCGAACGUAGUCGGAUGGUUACAAUCGUGGAUCGUAGAAAAUUGCACACCGCGAAAAGGAACAACGCGUCGAUCCGUGUGACCUAAAUUUUCCUCGAAAGAUGCUAAUCUGGUUGGCAGUCGCAUUAUAGGUAAUAGAAUUUUUUAUCGGAACAAUUUCGCGCCGGUUAUGCAGAGGCCGGUAGCACGAUGGAAGAAAAAAAUUUCAGCCAGCGAGCAAAUUUCGUAACGCGACUGGCCUUUUUUUGCCGAUCGUAUCGGUGCGAAUGCAACAACACGGUAGACAAGUGAAGGCGCUGAAAAGGAUAAAAUCCUGGAUAAUCCAAAGCGUGGUUGCUCGCCCACGAGCAAUCUUUGUUUCUUUUAUGUCUCUAUCUAUAUAAUUAAUACUCAUCAUCGAGAUAAAUUUUU
This is a long non-coding RNA of Apis cerana (Asiatic honeybee), 1106 nucleotides long. RefSeq lists it as uncharacterized. Lineage: Eukaryota; Metazoa; Arthropoda; Insecta; Hymenoptera; Apidae. The record is from RefSeq and is a predicted model, not a curated record.